CUUUCCAGGAGCACCACCAACAUAUCCAAAGUCAGCAUCAGCCAUCUCCCCAGGUCCAUUCACAAUGCAACCCAUGAUGGCAAUUGAAACACCAGGCAAGUGUGACGUCUUCUCUCUAAUUUGAGCGCUUAUCUCUUGAAGAUCGAAUAAAGUUCUGCCACAGGAUGGGCAUGAUACAUAUUCCGUUUUUGUGUUCCGCAUUCUGCAACCUUGAAGCAAAUUGAAAGAUGUAUUUCUGAGAAAAUCAAAAUCCUUGUCUGGAGCUUCCAAGAGAAGUCCAUCACCAAGCCCAUCUACCAAGAGGGCUCCCGCAUUUGUCCCGGCACCAAUCACUAAGUCAUCUCUGUGGGUGUUGCUGGGAAAUUGUAUGUGAUGAAUCACUGGAAAGUUCAAGGAAUUCUCGGAAAGAUACUCAAAAAGCCUCCUGGCUGCUUGAACCCUGCCAAUUUUUUCCUCUGUAUAUGGCAGAUUAUGAAGAAUCAUUGUAACAUCAGAGCUCUUCAGGAUUUCCAACUCAUCAUGUGAUUCAUCGCCACGCAGAGACACAACCAAUCUCGUACCUUCGGGAAGAAGCUUGUGAGCACCACCAGACAACUCCUUCAGAGUAACCAAGACCAUGGCAUUG
This 625-nucleotide unclassified non-coding RNA is filed under the name Hevea brasiliensis (rubber tree). The record is from RNAcentral. Lineage: Eukaryota; Viridiplantae; Streptophyta; Magnoliopsida; Malpighiales; Euphorbiaceae.